This is a non-coding RNA of Cajanus cajan (pigeon pea), 102 nucleotides long. The record is from Rfam. Lineage: Eukaryota; Viridiplantae; Streptophyta; Magnoliopsida; Fabales; Fabaceae.
ACGACCUUACUUGAACAGGAUCUGUUCUAUAGGCUCGUACCUCUAUAUCCUUGAGUUCUAAGGAGACAGGAACCUAAAAUAAAAAUAUUUUAUAUGUUAUUU